AACGAACGCUGGCGGCAUGCCUAAUACAUGCAAGUCGAACGAAGGCUUCGGCCUUAGUGGCGCACGGGUGCGUAACGCGUGGGAAUCUACCCUUGGGUUCGGAAUAACAGUUAGAAAUGACUGCUAAUACCGGAUGAUGACGUAAGUCCAAAGAUUUAUCGCCCAAGGAUGAGCCCGCGUAAGAUUAGCUAGUUGGUGAGGUAAAGGCUCACCAAGGCUACGAUCUUUAGCUGGUCUGAGAGGAUGAUCAGCCACACUGGGACUGAGACACGGCCCAGACUCCUACGGGAGGCAGCAGUAGGGAAUAUUGGACAAUGGGCGAAAGCCUGAUCCAGCAAUGCCGCGUGAGUGAUGAAGGCCUUAGGGUUGUAAAGCUCUUUUACCCGAGAUGAUAAUGACAGUAUCGGGAGAAUAAGCUCCGGCUAACUCCGUGCCAGCAGCCGCGGUAAAAGUCAACGUCG
Molecule: ribosomal RNA, 461 nt
Filed under: uncultured bacterium
Lineage: Bacteria
Description: bacterial SSU rRNA
Rfam family: Bacterial small subunit ribosomal RNA
Source: RNAcentral